GUCGAGAAUCUUUCACAAUGGGGGCAACCCUGAUGGAGCGACGCCGCGUGGAGGAUAAGGUCUUCGGAUUGUAAACUCCUGUCAUGCGUGAACAAGGUUGCUUGGUUAAUACCUGGGCAAAUUGAUGGUAACGCAAGAGGAAGAGACGGCUAACUCUGUGCCAGCAGCCGCGGUAAUACAGAGGUCUCAAGCGUUGUUCGGAAUCACUGGGCGUAAAGGGUGCGUAGGUGGCGUGGUAAGUCAGAUGUGAAAGCCCGGGGAUCAACCUCGGAACUGCAUCCGAUACUGCCAUGCUAGAGUACUGGAGAGGUGACUAGAAUUCUCGGUGUAGCAGUGAAAUGCGUAGAUAUCGAGAGGAAUACCAAAGGCGUAGGCAGGUCACUGGACAGUUACUGACACUGAGGCACGAAGGCCAGGGGAGCGAACGGGAUUAGAAACCCGUGUAGUCC
RNAcentral lists this ribosomal RNA (449 nucleotides) under uncultured bacterium. Its description in RNAcentral is "partial 16S ribosomal RNA". It matches the Rfam family "Bacterial small subunit ribosomal RNA", at positions 354 to 796 of the family's 1533-position model. The record is from RNAcentral.